CCAGUCGAGCGAAUGGAUUAAGAGCUUGCUCUUAUGAAGUUAGCGGCGGACGGGUGAGUAACACGUGGGUAACCUGCCCAUAAGACUGGGAUAACUCCGGGAAACCGGGGCUAAUACCGGAUAACAUUUUGAACNGCAUGGUUCGAAAUUGAAAGGCGGCUUCGGCUGUCACUUAUGGAUGGACCCGCGUCGCAUUAGCUAGUUGGUGAGGUAACGGCUCACCAAGGCAACGAUGCGUAGCCGACCUGAGAGGGUGAUCGGCCACACUGGGACUGAGACACGGCCCAGACUCCUACGGGAGGCAGCAGUAGGGAAUCUUCCGCAAUGGACGAAAGUCUGACGGAGCAACGCCGCGUGAGUGAUGAAGGCUUUCGGGUCGUAAAACUCUGUUGUUAGGGAAGAACAAGUGCUAGUUGAAUAAGCUGGCACCUUGACGGUACCUAACCAGAAAGCCACGGCUAACUACGGCCAGCAGCCGCGGAAAUGGCGAAAC
RNAcentral lists this ribosomal RNA (493 nucleotides) under Bacillus sp. enrichment culture clone A2e. Its description in RNAcentral is "bacterial SSU rRNA". It matches the Rfam family "Bacterial small subunit ribosomal RNA", at positions 58 to 531 of the family's 1533-position model. The record is from RNAcentral. Lineage: Bacteria; Bacillati; Bacillota; Bacilli; Caryophanales; Bacillaceae.